Molecule: ribosomal RNA, 338 nt
Filed under: uncultured bacterium
Lineage: Bacteria
Description: bacterial SSU rRNA
Rfam family: Bacterial small subunit ribosomal RNA
Source: RNAcentral
GAUGAACGCUAGCUACAGGCUUUAACACAUGCAAGUCGAGGGGCAGCAUUUUUAUAGCAAUAUAAAAGAUGGCGACCGGCGCACGGGUGAGUAACACGUAUCCAACCUGCCGAUAACUCGGGGAUAGCCUUUCGAAAGAAAGAUUAAUAUCCGAUGGUAUAAUUAGACCGCAUGGUCUUGUUAUUAAAGAAUUUCGGUUAUCGAUGGGGAUGCGUUCCAUUAGGCAGGUUGGUGAGGUAACGGCUCACCAAACCUUCGAUGGAUAGGGGUUCUGAGAGGAAGGUCCCCCACAUUGGAACUGAGACCACGGUCCAAACUCCUACGGGAGGCAGCAGUGA